This is a non-coding RNA of Dipodomys ordii (Ord's kangaroo rat), 72 nucleotides long. The record is from Rfam. NCBI's taxonomy places the organism in Eukaryota, Metazoa, Chordata, Mammalia, Rodentia, Heteromyidae.
GGGACGGUGGCUCAAUGGUAGAGUGCUUGCCUUGAAUGCAUGAGGACCUGGGUUCAAUUCCUCACCACCACA